AGACAGUGGCGCGGCAACGCCUCACUCAGUGCGCCAUCCGGGCUGCCAUCGUCUUC
This 56-nucleotide transfer RNA is filed under the name Diaphanoeca grandis. The record is from RNAcentral. Lineage: Eukaryota; Choanoflagellata; Acanthoecida; Stephanoecidae.